AGGGUUUUUCAGGGAUUGUGAGAGAGAUGAGCUAUAUAUUUCUUUCGUGUUUGUGAGCAGAUGAGAGAUUUAUGUGUGGAGUGAGAAGAGAAAAUGAGGAGUGUCGUAGGUGAGUGGGAGCGUUUUUGUGCUGAGAUUUUUCUGAGCCAAAUGAGAGUGGAGUGAAUCAGUUGGUUAGUAGUGGUUCUGAGGAUUUUCC
This 199-nucleotide long non-coding RNA is filed under the name Lathyrus oleraceus (garden pea). Its description in RNAcentral is "Pisum sativum (pea) long non-coding RNA (PSAT_LNC007975)". The record is from RNAcentral. Lineage: Eukaryota; Viridiplantae; Streptophyta; Magnoliopsida; Fabales; Fabaceae.